CCUACGGGGGGCAGCAGUGAGGAAUAUUGGUCAAUGGACGAGAGUCUGAACCAGCCAAGUAGCGUGAAGGAUGACUGCCCUAUGGGUUGUAAACUUCUUUUAUAUGGGAAUAAAACAGGGUAUGCAUACCCUCUUGCAUGUACCAUAUGAAUAAGGAUCGGCUAACUCCGUGCCAGCAGCCGCGGUAAUACGGAGGAUCCGAGCGUUAUCCGGAUUUAGUGGGUUUAAAGGGAGCGUAGGUGGAUUGUUAAGUCAGUUGUGAAAGUUUGCGGCUCAACCGUAAAAUUGCAGUUGAAACUGGCAGUCUUGAGUACAGUAGAGGUGUGCGGAAUUCGUGGUGUAGCGGUGAAAUGCUUAGAUAUCACGAAGAACUCCGAUUGCGAAGGCAGCUCACUGGACUGCAACUGACACUGAUGCUCGAAAGUGUGGGUAUCAAACAGGAUUAGAUACCCUUGUAGUC
RNAcentral lists this ribosomal RNA (460 nucleotides) under uncultured bacterium. Its description in RNAcentral is "partial 16S ribosomal RNA". It matches the Rfam family "Bacterial small subunit ribosomal RNA", at positions 338 to 795 of the family's 1533-position model. The record is from RNAcentral.